AACAGAGGGAAUGUGAUCACUUAUAAAAAAAGGGAAACAAAGGGUAUUCAGCUCAUAACUGGAAUGUUUCAUUGUCCACAGAUGACCACCUGGCCACGCAAGAAGCACCCACACUCCAUGCACAUGGCCAUGGCAUAUCACACCUGCAUGUACACUGUUUGUGGAGACAUACAUAAACUGUGUGUACUGCAUGUAUGACACAAGACAACUCCUCCACACCUGUAUAGCAAUGUGGAGAGUCACGUAUACCGAUUUGCUUUAUCUUCUCAUAUAAAGCCUCCCUUACGAGAUGGAUUUUGUAACAUCAGAGGCAAAGUUAAUCUUUUUUUAUUGGACUGAGCACCGAUCUGCCUGCUUUCCUGUGCUGUCUUUGUCCUGUGCUUAUAACAAUAUAUAAAUAUGUGUAAGAGGGACAUAUAUACAAGGAUAUGUAUUCCGGUGUAAUUAUGGGAUGUUCAGUUGUUUUUAGAUAUAAACACACUGACAUGGUUUUGCUUGAAAUUUAUCAGCGGCAUAAUGAGAUGCAAAAAAAAAAGAAAACACACUAUUCUCUGGUGCAUGAAUCUUGUAAUUUUACUCAGGCCAUGCUUUGCUUUGUUUGGACUGAAAUAUGUCCAUUUAUUUAAUGAGAUCCAAUAGUUACUGUUUAUGCAAGAAGAUAGAAUGGCUAAGGCUCUUUAGUCCACACUGAUUAUCCUUAGGCCCCCAUGUGCCAUUUACACUAGUGGAAAGAUAUGUACAAGUUCUAUAUCUAUGUCCAAGGCUAGUCGAAGAUCAUGCUGCAACCCCUAAUGUCCAAUCACUUUUUACUGAAAGUGACAUUGAUGUUUUAG
Long non-coding RNA from Rana temporaria (common frog), 833 nucleotides. RefSeq lists it as uncharacterized. The record is from RefSeq and is a predicted model, not a curated record. The transcript is spliced from 2 exons. Lineage: Eukaryota; Metazoa; Chordata; Amphibia; Anura; Ranidae.